GGUUAAGCGACCAAGCGUAUACGGUGGAUGCCUUGGCAGUCAGAGGCGAUGAAGGACGUAGUAACUUGCGAAAAGCGUUGGUGAGCUAGUAACAAGCAUUUGAGCCAGCGAUGUCCGAAUGGGGAAACCCGGCAGCAUAAGCUGUCAUCAAUACGUGAAUACAUAGCGUAUUGAGGCGAACGAGGGGAACUGAAACAUCUAAGUACCCUUAGGAAAAGAAAUCAACCGAGAUUCCCCAAGUAGCGGCGAGCGAACGGGGAUUAGCCCUUAAGUCUUUGGGGU
This 282-nucleotide ribosomal RNA is filed under the name Shewanella algae. RNAcentral describes it as "partial 23S ribosomal RNA". It matches the Rfam family "Bacterial large subunit ribosomal RNA", at positions 1 to 285 of the family's 2925-position model. Lineage: Bacteria; Pseudomonadati; Pseudomonadota; Gammaproteobacteria; Alteromonadales; Shewanellaceae. The record is from RNAcentral.